This 251-nucleotide long non-coding RNA is filed under the name Danio rerio (zebrafish). Its description in RNAcentral is "si:ch73-77m20.2 (ENSDARG00000092606.2)". The record is from RNAcentral. Lineage: Eukaryota; Metazoa; Chordata; Actinopteri; Cypriniformes; Danionidae.
AUAACAAGCUCGUACAUAUAUUUAAAAAAAUUUAAUGGAAAUGAACUCAUUUGAAAGUUAAUCAACUGCGAACUAGAUUGUCAAAAAAUUUAACAGUAUUUUAUUUAUUAAGUUUCAAAAGUUUUCCUAAAUUAAAGUGUUAACAAAUUGUCAAAUAUACCGUACCUUUGCGUCUACAUCUGCCCCAAGCUGGACCAGACUCUCCACCAUGGACAGAUGUGACUGAACUCACCGCUGUAGUUAGGGAAGGU